CCCACCACAACCAUGAUUUGAGGCAUCUGACAGAGUAACUGCAAAUGGGUGCUCUAACAGGGGAAGGGGAACCCCAAGUUAGACUUCAGGGCCGGACUGGCCCACCGGGAUAGCGGGAAAUUUCAUGGUGGGCCAUGGCACCUGGGGCUGAUCAGACAGCCCUAAUCAUCAGGAUAAUGCCACCUAAAUGAUUUUCCCCUCGGAUUGUGCCAGCCUGUACCAGUCAGAGGGGAGUAAAGAG
This is a non-coding RNA of Pelobates cultripes (western spadefoot toad), 241 nucleotides long. The record is from the annotation of a GenBank genome assembly. Lineage: Eukaryota; Metazoa; Chordata; Amphibia; Anura; Pelobatidae.